RNAcentral lists this ribosomal RNA (1338 nucleotides) under uncultured bacterium. RNAcentral describes it as "bacterial SSU rRNA". It matches the Rfam family "Bacterial small subunit ribosomal RNA", at positions 83 to 1394 of the family's 1533-position model. The record is from RNAcentral.
UCGGCGAGUAGAGCAGCGCAAGGGUGAGUAAUAUAUGGCUAACAUACCCCAUACAUGAGAAUAACUAUUAGAAAUGAUAGCUAAUGCUCAAUAGUUUCUUAAGGCCGCAUGGUCUAAAGAAUAAAGGUAGGGAUCCUUCGGGACCUUCUGGUUUGGGAGUGGGUCAUGGGCUAUCAGCUAGUUGGUGAGGUAAAGGCUCACCAAGGCUAAGACGGCUAGGCGAUCUGAGAGGAUGAUCGCCCACAUCGGGACUGAGACACUGCCCGGACUCCUACGGGAGGCUGCAGUCGAGAAUCUUCCGCAAUGGGCGCAAGCCUGACGGAGCGACGCCGCGUGAGGGACGAAGGCUUUAGGGUCGUAAACCUCUUUCGCUUGUUAAGAAAAGUGUAUGUUAACAGCAUGCACCCUGACAAAGGCAAGUAAAGAAGCACCGGCUAAAUCCGUGCCAGCAGCCGCGGUAAUACGGAUGGUGCAAGCGUUACUCGGAAUCACUGGGCGUAAAGCGUUCGUAGGUGGUUCAUUAAGUUGGAUGUGUAAUCCCACGGCUCAACCCGUGGAACUGCGUUCAAAACUGAUGAACUAGAGAGCAGUAGGGGACAAGGGAACUUCACGUGGAGCGGUGAAAUGCGUAGAUAUCUGAAGGAACACCGAUGGCGAAAGCACUUGUCUGGGCUGAUUCUGACACUGAGGAACGAAAGCUAGGGUAGCGAACGGGAUUAGAUACCCCGGUAGUCCUAGCCGUAAACGAUGGAUACUAGCUUGUGGGAUCUUCGGAUUUCACUUGCGUAGCUAACGCGUUAAGUAUCCCGCCUGGGGAGUAUGCACGCAAGUGUAAAACUCAAAGGAAUUGACGGGGGCUCACACAAGCGGUGGAGCAUGUGGUUUAAUUCGAAGCUACGCGAAGAACCUCACCCAGGUUUGACAUGGAUGAAUUAGGUCUGAGAAACCAGACUGACACCCUUCGGGGCGGAACAUUCACAGGUGUUGCAUGGCUGUCGUCAGCUCGUGUCGUGAGAUGUCGGGUUAAGUCCCUAAACGAGCGAAACCCCUAUUGUUAGUUGCUAGCGAGUAAUGUCGAGGACUUUAACAAGACCGCCGUGGUUAACACGGAGGAAGGUGGGGAUGACGUCAAGUCAUCAUGGCCCUUAUACCUGGGGCUACACACGUGCUACAAUGGGCAGUACAGAGGGUUGCGAAGUCGUGAGGCUAAGCUAAUCCCUUAAAGCUGCUCCUAGUUCGGAUUGUAGGCUGAAACUCGCCUACAUGAAGCUGGAAUCGCUAGUAAUCGCGGGUCAGCAUACCGCGGUGAAUAUGUUCCUGAGCCUUGUACACACCGCC